Molecule: transfer RNA, 71 nt
Filed under: Thermoplasmata archaeon
Lineage: Archaea; Methanobacteriati; Thermoplasmatota; Thermoplasmata
Also listed under: 1 other name
Description: tRNA-Cys
Rfam family: tRNA
About the family: Transfer RNA (tRNA) molecules are approximately 80 nucleotides in length.
Source: RNAcentral
GGGCGGGUCACCUAGAGGCAGGGUGGUGGACUGCAGAUCCACAUACGCGGGUUCAAAUCCCGCCCCGCCCU